Molecule: ribosomal RNA, 253 nt
Filed under: uncultured bacterium
Lineage: Bacteria
Description: partial 16S ribosomal RNA
Rfam family: Bacterial small subunit ribosomal RNA
Source: RNAcentral
UACGAAGGGGGCUAGCGUUGCUCGGAAUCACUGGGCGUAAAGCGCACGUAGGCGGCUUUCUAAGUCAGGGGUGAAAUCCUGGAGCUCAACUCCAGAACUGCCUUUGAUACUGGAGAGCUAGAGUCCGGGAGAGGUGAGUGGAACUCCGAGUGUAGAGGUGAAAUUCGUAGAUAUUCGGAAGAACACCAGUGGCGAAGGCGGCUCACUGGCCCGAUACUGACGCUGAGGCACGAAAGCGUGGGGAGCAAACAGG